GUGGGGAAUAUUCCGCAAUGGACGAAAGUCUGACGGAGCAACGCCGCGUGAGUGAUGAAGGUUUUCGGACUGUAAAGCUCUGUUGUUUAGGACGAAAGUGCCUGUUGCGAACAGUUACAGGUAUCGACGGUACUAAACGAGGAAGCCACGGCUAACUACGUGCCAGCAGCCGCGGUAAUACGUAGGUGGCAAGCGUUGUCCGGAAUUAUUGGGCGUAAAGAGCAUGUAGGCGGAGAUUUAAGUCUGUUGUGAAAAUGCGGGGCUCAACCCCGUAUUGCGAUGGAAACUGAAUUUCUUGAGUGCAGGAGAGGAAAGGGGAAUUCCCAGUGUAGCGGUGAAAUGCGUAGAUAUUGGGAGGAACACCAGUGGCGAAGGCGCCUUUCUGGACUGUGUCUGACGCUGAGAUGCGAAAGCCAGGGUAGCGAACGGGAUUAGAAACCCUGGUAGUCC
Molecule: ribosomal RNA, 450 nt
Filed under: uncultured bacterium
Lineage: Bacteria
Description: partial 16S ribosomal RNA
Rfam family: Bacterial small subunit ribosomal RNA
Source: RNAcentral